GUUACAAAAAUAUUAAUACCAAAUCAAAAAACAGCAGAGAGCAGAAAUCACAUAUAUGACAUCUUUCUACUUUUUACUUGGUAUUUUUAUUUUUGUUAGUAAAACACCGAAUUGUUUUUUUUAUUUUUCUUGUGCUUUCUCUGGGUGUCAGCAAUAAAUGUCCGCAUUUUCAGAUGACUGUAGGAUUGUGUCAGUACCUAGAUUGUAAAAUAUCAUAUGAUUAUUUUUCCAUUAAAUCCAUGUAUAAAGUUAAUUAUUCUGAGCAAAAUAAU
Molecule: non-coding RNA, 272 nt
Organism: Pelobates cultripes (western spadefoot toad)
Lineage: Eukaryota; Metazoa; Chordata; Amphibia; Anura; Pelobatidae
Source: the annotation of a GenBank genome assembly